AGCAGCAGCCGCGGUAAUACGGAGGGAGCUAGCGUUGUUCGGAAUUACUGGGCGUAAAGCGCGCGUAGGCGGUUACUCAAGUCAGAGGUGAAAGCCCGGGGCUCAACCCCGGAACUGCCUUUGAAACUAGGUGACUAGAAUCUUGGAGAGGUCAGUGGAAUUCCGAGUGUAGAGGUGAAAUUUGUAGAUAUUCGGAAGAACACCAGUGGCGAAGGCGACUGACUGGACAAGUAUUGACGCUGAGGUGCGAAAGCGUGGGGAGCAAACAGGAUUAGAUACCCGAGUAGUCCCUGUCUCUUAUAC
This 303-nucleotide ribosomal RNA is filed under the name uncultured bacterium. RNAcentral describes it as "partial 16S ribosomal RNA". It matches the Rfam family "Bacterial small subunit ribosomal RNA", at positions 507 to 807 of the family's 1533-position model. The record is from RNAcentral.